Molecule: long non-coding RNA, 1253 nt
Filed under: Equus caballus (horse)
Lineage: Eukaryota; Metazoa; Chordata; Mammalia; Perissodactyla; Equidae
Description: lncRNA (ENSECAG00000057820.1)
Source: RNAcentral
GUACAUCCUCUAAGAUGAAGUAUAGGCACUGGCCAUGAUCUAUAGGUUGUUCCCUCAGUAGCUGUCUGACACGGGUCCAGAAACCAAGAAGUAGAAGUAGGAUCGACCCUCCCCACCAUCACUCCAUAAGGUGUCUACUGACCUUGAAGCUCCACCUACCUGGACCCUUUGGAAUCCUAUGCCAGUGGGCCAGUAAGCAAACGUUAUCAGCUGUGAGUGCUAAUUGACUCUGCCAUGAAGAGCUGGGGUUGCUACAUGAUGGGCACAAGAAGGACUAUGACUGAAUCUCAGAGGUUCCAUGCCCAGUGACAAUGACAUUGUAGCUGACCACCUUCUUGAUGGAGACUCUGUGGAUUGGACUUAGGGAAGGCGAGAACAGUGAUAUAAGGAGCCCUCUUGUGCACCACUUCAAAUCCUUUUAGCUCUUACUCCAGCCACUGCUUUGGUAACCAGCUUUGCACAGACGUCAACCAGUUCUUUGCCUGUACAACAUGACAGUGCCUUGUCUUGGGCCCAGUGCUACAUAUGUCUUAGUCUGUCCUUGAUGCUGUUGGCACGUACACAGGUGUAACCCAAAAUACAGGGAGGUUUAAGGUUUGUGGGGUAUUCUUACAGUCUAAGGCUCAGAUCAAUGGAGGAUGCAAGCCAAAGGAUAAAUCGUUCCUCUUUCAUCCCCCAAGCACACAGCUCUGAGAUGCAUGCAUGAGACUUACUAGAAAGUCCUCUAGUUUGAGCACCCGUCGCAGAUAGCCUGGCCAACUCACGAACACAGCCAUCCUUCCCUGUUUCAUUUCCUUGUUCUUCACUCUUGCUCCCAGAGACACAUUCCCAAAUAAACUGCCCACGUGAAAGCCUUUGUCUCAGUCUCUGUUUUGGAGGAAACUAAGAUAAGAUGCAUGGCCACACCUAAUAACUGCAGAAGAGGCUGGAGAAAUCACAUCACAGGGCAGCUAUAUGUCCAGUUUCCAUUACUACGGAAGACGAGGGAGCAGAUUUGGUGGCCAGCUAGCAGUCUCCACUCCAGCAGGAAAGUGCUGAAACAUUUGACAGACGCCCCAGCCAAAGAGUUAAAAAUAAUAGAAGUUUUGAUGCUUAAAAGGAUAAGUAGUACAACUACCAUUGUCCAAAGAGAAGAGGACAUUUCCUUGGCUGUGACCAGCAGAGUGGAGAGAGAAGAGGAGAAUGCCAAGGGUCAGAUGGCUGGAAUGUGACCACACUUAGCUACCAGGAAGGAAAGGAUGAGCCAUUAAAGG